Molecule: ribosomal RNA, 721 nt
Filed under: Rummeliibacillus sp.
Lineage: Bacteria; Bacillati; Bacillota; Bacilli; Caryophanales; Caryophanaceae
Description: bacterial SSU rRNA
Rfam family: Bacterial small subunit ribosomal RNA
Source: RNAcentral
CAGUCGAGCGAUGACGAGGAGCUUGCUCCUCUGAUUUAGCGGCGGACGGGUGAGUAACACGUGGGCAACCUGCCCUGCAGACUGGGAUAACUUCGGGAAACCGGAGCUAAUACCGGAUAAUCCAUUUUACUUCAUGGUGAAAUGUUGAAAGGCGCUUUCGCGCCACUGCAGGAUGGGCCCGCGGUGCAUUAGCUAGUUGGUGGGGUAACGGCCUACCAAGGCGACGAUGCAUAGCCGACCUGAGAGGGUGAUCGGCCACAUUGGGACUGAGACACGGCCCAAACUCCUACGGGAGGCAGCAGUAGGGAAUCUUCCACAAUGGACGAAAGUCUGAUGGAGCAACGCCGCGUGAGUGAUGAAGGUUUUCGGAUCGUAAAACUCUGUUGUAAGGGAAGAACAAGUACGUUAGGAAAUGAACGUACCUUGACGGUACCUUAUUAGAAAGCCACGGCUAACUACGUGCCAGCAGCCGCGGUAAUACGUAGGUGGCAAGCGUUGUCCGGAUUUAUUGGGCGUAAAGCGCGCGCAGGUGGUUUCUUAAGUCUGAUGUGAAAUCUCGCGGCUCAACCGCGAGCGGUCAUUGGAAACUGGGGAACUUGAGUGCAGAAGAGGAUAGUGGAAUUCCAAGUGUAGCGGUGAAAUGCGUAGAGAUUUGGAGGAACACCAGUGGCGAAGGCGACUGUCUGGUCUGUAACUGACACUGAGGCGCGAAAGCGUGGGG